GACGAACGCUGGCGGCGUGCUUAACACAUGCAAGUCGAACGGAAAGGCCCUGCUUGCAGGGUACUCGAGUGGCGAACGGGUGAGUAACACGUGGGUGAUCUGCCCUGCACUUCGGGAUAAGCCUGGGAAACUGGGUCUAAUACCGGAUAGGAGCCAUUUUUAGUGUGAUGGUUGGAAAGUUUUUUCGGUGUAGGAUGAGCUCGCGGCCUAUCAGCUUGUUGGUGGGGUAAUGGCCUACCAAGGCGGCGACGGGUAGCCGGCCUGAGAGGGAGGACGGCCACAUUGGGACUGAGAUACGGCCCAGACUCCUACGGGAGGCAGCAGUGGGGAAUAUUGCACAAUGGGCGCAAGCCUGAUGCAGCGACGCCGCGUGGGGGAUGACGGCCUUCGGGUUGUAAACUCCUUUCGCUAGGGACGAAGCUUUUUGUGACGGUACCUAGAGAAGAAGCACCGGCUAACUACGUG
RNAcentral lists this ribosomal RNA (465 nucleotides) under uncultured bacterium. RNAcentral describes it as "partial 16S ribosomal RNA". It matches the Rfam family "Bacterial small subunit ribosomal RNA", at positions 28 to 507 of the family's 1533-position model. The record is from RNAcentral.